Molecule: ribosomal RNA, 555 nt
Filed under: uncultured bacterium
Lineage: Bacteria
Description: partial 16S ribosomal RNA
Rfam family: Bacterial small subunit ribosomal RNA
Source: RNAcentral
UGGGGAAUUUUGGACAAUGGGCGAAAGCCUGAUCCAGCAAUGCCGCGUGUGUGAAGAAGGCCUUCGGGUUGUAAAGCACUUUUGUCCGGAAAGAAAUCCUUGGCUCUAAUACAGUCGGGGGAUGACGGUACCGGAAGAAUAAGCACCGGCUAACUACGUGCCAGCAGCCGCGGUAAUACGUAGGGUGCAAGCGUUAAUCGGAAUUACUGGGCGUAAAGCGUGCGCAGGCGGUUUGCUAAGACCGAUGUGAAAUCCCCGGGCUCAACCUGGGAACUGCAUUGGUGACUGGCAGGCUAGAGUAUGGCAGAGGGGGGUAGAAUUCCACGUGUAGCAGUGAAAUGCGUAGAGAUGUGGAGGAAUACCGAUGGCGAAGGCAGCCCCCUGGGCCAAUACUGACGCUCAUGCACGAAAGCGUGGGGAGCAAACAGGAUUAGAUACCCUGGUAGUCCACGCCCUAAACGAUGUCAACUAGUUGUUGGGGAUUCAUUUCCUUAGUAACGUAGCUAACGCGUGAAGUUGACCGCCUGGGGAGUACGGUCGCAAGAUUAAACUUAA